GAUGAACGCUGGCGGCGUGCCUAAUACAUGCAAGUCGAGCGAACGGACGAGAAGCUUGCUUCUCUGAUGUUAGCGGCGGACGGGUGAGUAACACGUGGAUAACCUACCUAUAAGACUGGGAUAACUUCGGGAAACCGUAGCUAAUACCGGAUAAUAUUUUGAACCGCAUGGUUCAAAAGUGAAAGACGGUCUUGCUGUCACUUAUAGAUGGAUCCGCGCUGCAUUAGCUAGUUGGUAAGGUAACGGCUUACCAAGGCAACGAUGCAUAGCCGACCUGAGAGGGUGAUCGGCCUCACUGGAACUGAGACACGGUCCAGACUCCUACGGGAGGCAGCAGUAGGGAAUCUUCCGCAAUGGGCGAAAGCCUGACGGAGCAACGCCGCGUGAGUGAUGAAGGUCUUCGGAUCGUAAAACUCUGUUAUUAGGGAAGAACAUAUGUGUAAGUAACUGUGCACAUCUUGACGGUACCUAAUCAGAAAGCCACGGCUAACUACGUG
RNAcentral lists this ribosomal RNA (497 nucleotides) under uncultured bacterium. Its description in RNAcentral is "partial 16S ribosomal RNA". It matches the Rfam family "Bacterial small subunit ribosomal RNA", at positions 28 to 507 of the family's 1533-position model. The record is from RNAcentral.